GUCCUACGGGAAGCAGCAAUGUGGAAUCUUACGCAAUGGGCGAAAGCCUGACACAGCCACGCCGCGUGAAUGAUGAAGCUCUU
Molecule: ribosomal RNA, 83 nt
Filed under: uncultured bacterium
Lineage: Bacteria
Description: partial 16S ribosomal RNA
Rfam family: Bacterial small subunit ribosomal RNA
Source: RNAcentral